This is a long non-coding RNA of Macadamia integrifolia, 586 nucleotides long. RefSeq lists it as uncharacterized. Lineage: Eukaryota; Viridiplantae; Streptophyta; Magnoliopsida; Proteales; Proteaceae. The transcript has 2 exons. The record is from RefSeq and is a predicted model, not a curated record.
UGGCAAACCAGGGUGAAUCAGGGUCAUCCCGGCCCGACCCUGAAAAAUCAGGGCCGAUCAAGUGCCUUCCAUCACUAUCGAGAAGCAUGUGGCCAAAAUGCACCUUUAAAGAAACAUCCAGAAUUGGAUAGGUUGCUGAGGGAAGAAUAUCGUAGCAUAGAUGACUUCCAUGCAAAAGAGAAGGCAGCAAGAGAAGCUAGUAACAGUAAUAGUAGCAGUCCUGCUGAUAGAGACAAAGAGUCCCAAUUUAUUGGGAAACACAAAUACAGGUCUAAAUUGGCUAGGGAAGUUGAGUUAGAUGCACAUCGAGCAAUACCUGUAAAAGAGUUGAGGAUUGAGAUGGUUCCACCUCUUUGGUGAGUGUGAACUAUGAGUUAAUUUUUGUUCUUAGCGAUUUUGGCCGUUAAGCAUUUUUGUGCAAAUUUUGAAGCUCUCUGCGAGCUUAGUGAGAUGGUCGAUCAGAUUAUUCUCCAGCUGUACAUAAUGAAGGAAAAAAACAAGAGAAAAAAAAGACAAUAAUGGCUGUAUCUGGGAUUUUUUUGGGGAAUGCCCAAUAAUAAUCCGGAAUUUGGCCAGGUAGGUUCUA